GAUGAACGCUGGCGGCGUGCCUAAUACAUGCAAGUCGAGCGAACAGAUGAGGCGCUUGCUCCUCUGACGUUAGCGGCGGACGGGUGAGUAACACGUGGAUAACCUACCUAUAAGACUGGGAUAACUUCGGGAAACCGGAGCUAAUACCGGAUAAUCUCUUGAACCGCAUGGUUCAAUAGUGAAAGACGGUUUUGCUGUCACUUAUAGAUGGAUCCGCGCCGCAUUAGCUAGUUGGUAAGGUAACGGCUUAUCAAGGCAACGAUGCGUAGCCGACGUGAGAGGGGGAUCGGCCACACUGGAACGGGAACACGGUCCAGGCUCCUACGAGAGGCAGCAGUAGGGAACCUGCCGCAGUGGGCGGAAGCCUGACGGAGCAACGCCGCGUGAGUUAUGGAGGUCUUCGGAUCGUAAAACUCUGUUAUGAGGGAAGAACAAAUUUGUAAGUAACUAUGCACGGCGUGACGGUACCGAAUAAGAAAGCCACGGCUAACUACGUG
RNAcentral lists this ribosomal RNA (497 nucleotides) under uncultured bacterium. RNAcentral describes it as "partial 16S ribosomal RNA". It matches the Rfam family "Bacterial small subunit ribosomal RNA", at positions 28 to 507 of the family's 1533-position model. The record is from RNAcentral.